This 482-nucleotide ribosomal RNA is filed under the name uncultured bacterium. RNAcentral describes it as "partial 16S ribosomal RNA". It matches the Rfam family "Bacterial small subunit ribosomal RNA", at positions 30 to 507 of the family's 1533-position model. The record is from RNAcentral.
AUUGAACGCUGGCGGCAUGCCUUACACAUGCAAGUCGAACGGUAACGGGCCUUCGGGUGCCGACGAGUGGCGAACGGGUGAGUAAUACAUCGGAACGUGCCCGAUCGUGGGGGAUAACGAGGCGAAAGCUUUGCUAAUACCGCAUACGAUCUACGGAUGAAAGCAGGGGACCGCAAGGCCUUGCGCGGACGGAGCGGCCGAUGGCAGAUUAGGUAGUUGGUGGGAUAAAAGCUUACCAAGCCGACGAUCUGUAGCUGGUCUGAGAGGAUGAUCAGCCACACUGCGACUGAGACACGGCCCAGACUCCUACGGGAGGCAGCAGUGGGGAAUUUUGGACAAUGGGCGCAAGCCUGAUCCAGCCAUGCCGCGUGCAGGAUGAAGGCCUUCGGGUUGUAAACUGCUUUUGUACGGAACGAAAAGCCUUCUUUUAAUACAGGAGGGUCAUGACGGUACCGUAAGAAUAAGCACCGGCUAACUACGUG